CAGUCGCCGCGGUAAUACGUAGGGUGCAAGCGUUAAUCGGAAUUACUGGGCGUAAAGCGUGCGCAGGCGGUUAUAUAAGACAGAUGUGAAAUCCCCGGGCUCAACCUGGAAACUGCAUUUGUGACUGUAUAGCUAGAGUACGGCAGAGGGGGAUGGAAUUCCGCGUGUAGCAGUGAAAUGCGUAGAUAUGCGGAGGAACACCGAUGGCGAAGGCAAUCCCCUGGGCCUGUACUGACGCUCAUGCACGAAAGCGUGGGGAGCAAACAGGAUUAGAUACCCCCGUAGUCCCUGUCUCUUAUAC
RNAcentral lists this ribosomal RNA (301 nucleotides) under uncultured bacterium. RNAcentral's name for it is "partial 16S ribosomal RNA". It matches the Rfam family "Bacterial small subunit ribosomal RNA", at positions 509 to 807 of the family's 1533-position model. The record is from RNAcentral.